Molecule: ribosomal RNA, 492 nt
Filed under: uncultured bacterium
Lineage: Bacteria
Description: partial 16S ribosomal RNA
Rfam family: Bacterial small subunit ribosomal RNA
Source: RNAcentral
AGUGAACGCUGGCGGUAGGCCUAACACAUGCAAGUCGAACGGCAGCACAGUAAGAGCUUGCUCUUACGGGUGGCGAGUGGUGGACGGGUGAGGAAUACAUCGGAAUCUACUUUUUCGUGGGGGAUAACGUAGGGAAACUUACGCUAAUACCGCAUACGACCUACGGGUGAAAGCAGGGGAUCUUCGGACCUUGCGCGAUUGAAUGAGCCGAUGUCGGACUAGCUAGUUGGCGGGGUAAAGGCCCACCAAGGCGACGAUCCGUAGCUGGUCUGAGAGGAUGAUCAGCCACACUGGAACUGAGACACGGUCCAGACUCCUACGGGAGGCAGCAGUGGGGAAUAUUGGACAAUGGGCGCAAGCCUGAUCCAGCCAUACCGCGUGGGUGAAGAAGGCCUUCGGGUUGUAAAGCCCUUUUGUUGGGAAAGAAAAGCAGCAGGUUAAUACCCCGCUGUUCUGACGGUACCCAAAGAAUAAGCACCGGCUAACUUCGUG